ACAACACCCAAUAACUCCUCACAAACCCUAGCCACUCCUUUCUCUCACAAGUUGAAGAACACGAGCUCAAGGUUGAAGAGCCAAGACGGGAACUUUAAAAUGGAAAAUGAAGAUGCCAAUAUUUCUAUAAAUAUUGACAACUAGAUUUGUUAACGUCGCGCGUUGCGGCGAAACGGAGCAAAUGAUAAUGUAAGCAAACGUUAUUUAAAAAUGAAACAUGUUGUUUAGAAAGUCAAACCUUCAUAAUCGAUUAAGUUUAUCAUCGUACCGUUUUAGAUACCAAAUAAAUGCUCUAUUUUAAAUACAACUUCGUGACAUGCUCCAUAAAGCUAGAUACGUCACUAAUCUAGUAUGCCACGUAACACACUCCUAACGGCAUGAUUAUUAUUUCACUAAUUUUCUUGUAAAUAAUAAUAGCCGCAUAUAUAAGUUUUUCUUAUACUUAUAAUUAUAUAAUAUUUUGGACACGUUAAAAAGAUCAACAUGACUACAAAUGUUUGUACUCAAUUUUAUGUUAGGAGAGGAUCGAUGUGGUGGAAUGAAUUUAUGUUAUUGAAAAGAAAACUAAAAGAGAUAGGAUGGAUAUAAUGGGAUGAAUAUAUUUUAUUAGAAGAAGCAAAAGAUA
This is a long non-coding RNA of Helianthus annuus (common sunflower), 625 nucleotides long. RefSeq lists it as uncharacterized. The record is from RefSeq and is a predicted model, not a curated record. NCBI's taxonomy places the organism in Eukaryota, Viridiplantae, Streptophyta, Magnoliopsida, Asterales, Asteraceae. The transcript has 2 exons.